RNAcentral lists this ribosomal RNA (477 nucleotides) under uncultured bacterium. RNAcentral describes it as "bacterial SSU rRNA". It matches the Rfam family "Bacterial small subunit ribosomal RNA", at positions 365 to 832 of the family's 1533-position model. The record is from RNAcentral.
UUCGCAAUGCCCGAAAGGGUGACGAAGCGACGCCGCGUGCGGGAAGAAGGCCUUCGGGUUGUAAACCGCUGUCGGGAGUUAAGAAAUGCAAGGGUGUUAACAGCAUCCUUGCUUGACUAAGGCUCCGGAGGAAGCCACGGCUAACUCUGUGCCAGCAGCCGCGGUAAUACAGAGGCGGCAAGCGUUGUUCGGAAUUAUUGGGCGUAAAGAGCACGUAGGCGGCCGUGUAAGUCGGUUGUGAAAGCCUUCCGCUCAACGGGAGAACGGCAUCCGAUACUGCAUGGCUUGAGCGCGGGAGGGGAGAGUGGAACUUCUGGUGGAGCGGUGAAAUGCGUAGAUAUCAGAAGGAACACCGGCGGCGAAGGCGACUCUCUGGCCCGUAACUGACGCUGAGUGUGCGAAAGCUAGGGGAGCAAACGGGAUCAGAUACCCCGGUAGUCCUAGCCAUAAAUGAUGGGCACUAAGUAGAGGGGUUUU